This 122-nucleotide ribosomal RNA is filed under the name Photorhabdus luminescens. RNAcentral describes it as "partial 23S ribosomal RNA". It matches the Rfam family "Bacterial large subunit ribosomal RNA", at positions 1 to 112 of the family's 2925-position model. Lineage: Bacteria; Pseudomonadati; Pseudomonadota; Gammaproteobacteria; Enterobacterales; Morganellaceae. The record is from RNAcentral.
GGGUUGUGAGGUUAAGCGAAUAAGCGUACACGGUGGAUGCCUAGGCAGUCAGAGGCGAUGAAGGACGCGCUAAUCUGCGAAAAGCGUCGGUAAGCUGAUAUGAAGCGCCAUAACCGGCGAUG